AUGGCAAGCAUAUUUACCUGCUGAGCCAUCUCCCUAGUCCCUCACCAGAAUUGUCUCAUCAAAUUUUCUAUGCAGUUGUUUACUUAUUUUGGUAUCAAGAUAGUGUAGAUGCUGAGACAAGAAAGGGAUAUCUAGAAUAAGAAUGUUAUCCCGAGGUGUGCAUACUUUCCUUUCCCUCCUAAGUCAUGGCAAACUCUUAAAAGCCUAGGUCAAAUAGAGUGUCAUAAUUGUCAACACAAAGCUCUAGAGAAUCAAACUGUGGAUUUAUCCAUGUUGGCAAAUAAGUUGAAACAUAUAUUCAGUCCUUUUGGCCUAUAACAUGAGGAAGAAUGUCAAAGAGAUACCUGAUCAGGCUGCGCCACAGUGGAGAAGGGUCAACAGGGGCAAAAGGAUGAGGCUGUAACAUAAUGACCAGUUGGACAAUCCUUUCUUCCAUAUGCAUACAACCUAACUGCAGUGCUUUUCAAUUUCCUGGGUGUGGAAAUGAUCGGUGGUCUUGUUGAAAUGCAGCUCUGAUUUAUCAUAUCUUGGGAAGGACUCAGGACGCUAUAUUUCUAACAAAAACGUGGGUGUUGUGGUGGUUUGAAAGAGAAGGUCUCCAUAGUCUCAGGCAUUUGAAUACAUAUUACCCAGUUGGUGGUCCUGUUUGGCAGGUUUAGGAGAGAUGGCCUUCCUAAAGGAAGCAUGUCAGUGGGGGCCUGCAUUGAGAGUUUAAGGUUUUGCCCUCCUUGUAGUUUGCUCUCUCUGCUUUGAGAUGUGAGCAAGCUCUCAAUUUUCUGCUGUAGCCACCACGCCGGCUGUCAUAUCCCUCUGGACGAGCCCAAAUAAGUUGCCUCGGUCAUGGUGUUUUAUCACAGUGACAGAAAAGUAACUAAAACAGGUGUUACUGAUAUUGCUACAAAGGCCCACAUUUUGAGCAAUGAGAUGGCCUUAGUUAAUGAGAAACUCAUGCCUUGGGCUCCGGACUCUUUGUUCUCCUGAUGUUGUGGAGGAGUGAGACCAAAGUAGAAAUUAGAACAUCCAAAUUUAAAUUUGAGUGUGCCACUUAUUUUAUGGCCCCAGCCUUUGAGACCCAUUUCUCUUAUCUGUAAAUCAAAGAAAAAAAUCCCUCAUACCUCAUGCAGUGCUCAUAAAGAUCAAAUAGAUACCAUGUACAGGCUAUUGGUAAGGGUUCAAUAAGUGGUAGUUAACUCUGAACUAGCCAAAGCCAACAGUAUCUGGAGAAGACACAAGCUAUGGCUACAAAUCUCCAUGGUUUCCAGAAGAACAGUUUUAUCAGCCUGCCAGAUGGGGAUCGACAGAAUGCCAAACAUGUAAAUAUUUGGAAUGCAUUAAAAACACGCUCAACAAGUAUCUCUUCCAUUCAGAUUGGUCUUUUGGCUUAAGGAAGUAUAAGGGCAAGGGGGGUUUCUGCAGAAAGAUGCUAUCUAACUUCACUGGCUCUUUUGUAUACUUUGGAGCAGCUAACAGACAUGUUGGAGAAUGGUAAUGCAUGCAACAUGGAUAAUCUCAAUUUUCAGAAAGCCUUUGAUACUGUUCCAUAUAAUAGGCUGCCUAAACCAAAGACAGCAGGGAUUCUUGAUGAAACCCUGGGAAAAAAGAGAUUGGCUAGAGAACAAAACAAAAAGUUGAGAAUGAAACAGAAUGGAAAAUAGAUAGAAGAUGGGGUUACUUUCCAAGAACAAGGGAGAAAAUAUGGAUGCUGCAAUUAUGAUCGUGACAUAGGCUGGUACACUGGAUGGAAAACAGAAGACAUGGAAAAAUGCUGGACAGUAAUAUGACAUUUCUAUGACAACACCUUAAUGUUAUAAGAACUAGGUAUUGACAUGACUAGAAGAAUGUUUAAAAUGCUUAAAAUGACAUGAAAUCAGUUAUGACUUAUGAAUAAAAGUAUCCAGCUCAAGACUUAGAAAAAAGCUUUAUAUUAUAAUUAAUUAUAGCCACUGUAACCCCAUGGUACUAAGAAAUAUAUAUUAUUAUAAAUCAGUAGACCUUAAUGGGGAGGUAUGUUUUACCUGGAAAAUUUAGUAAUGCCUGGAGAAAUUUUUGUCAUAUUUUGGGAGGAGGGUAGUCCUGGCAUCUCCUGAGUGGAGAUGAAAGGUACUAAGAAACAUCUUAAAUGCAGGGUAAAGGACAGGAACCUCCUUUUCAACUAUGUGUAGUUGCCUUAAUAAAUCCCCCAAUAUAGACCAGUCUGGAGGUUGCUGCACAGAAUCCAUAAAAAACAAAAAAAAUAACAAAAAAAACCCCCGUGAGUUCCAAUCUGGCUCCCAGAUGUUUGCCUCUGCUCAUCCUGGCUAGUCUUUUAGAAGCCAUUUUCUUUUAGAGAAAAAAAAGUGGCUUUAAUUAAAGAUUGAGGAGGGUAAUUGGGAAAAAAUAAUGGAAAAAAAUUAAAAUCUCUUAUUGCUUAUUUUCUAUUACUUUCUGGCGUAUAACUCAGAGAAGAAAGCAUUUCUUAUAAUUAGAUUUCCCUAGAGGUGCACUAAAAUCAAAUCAGUCCAGCCUUCAGUGACUGAUUUCUAGGAAUAGGUCAAUGGGGCCUGGAAGGAGUGUAUGAGGUAGUAGGUUCAUAGGUUAUAUAGGGGAACUCAGUCUUCACUGUCAACCCUAUGGCCUAUCAUUUCCCACUUACUGAUUCUUCCCCAUGAAGUUUUGUCUCCUGUUGUGAAAUGAAUAUUUUAUACCAGAAUCUUCCUUAAGCAGCUUACUCUGCUAACUGAUUAAUUAACCUUAGAUGGAAUAGAACAGAACGGGGCCUUGGAGCCCAAGAGAAGCCAGAGAAAGGAAUUCUGAGACUAGACAACAAAGGAAGCGUCUUUGGUUUACACUUUCCUUAAAAGUCAGAGUUACUUGUAAAAAUGCAGCCCUACAUCAUUCAACACUUUACUCUCUACUUGUGUUGCUUCAAUGAUUUAUUUAGUCUUAAUUUUUCUACAUAUAUUUAUUUGUGCACAUAUAAAUGUGGGUUCAUGAAUCAUGGCGUGUGUGGAGGUCAGAGUGUAAAUUUCAGGAGUCAGCUCUUAUUAUGUGGGUUCUGUGGAUCACCAUCAGAUUGUCAGUCUUGAGGCAAGAGCCUUUAUUUGCUGAGUCAUCCUGCUAGCACCUUUUUGAGGCUUAAAAAAAAAAACAUUAUUCCAUAUAGCCAAGGUUAGCUUCAAACUCAUUGUGUAGCAAAGGAUGACACUGAAUUGUGUGGGGGGCCAAACCUAGGGCUUCAUGCAUCCUAUGGGGGCACUCUAUCACUGAGUUAUAUCCCUAACUUCAGUUUAACUUUAAAAAGAGAAGACUAUGUUUUUAAAUUAACAUGUGUAGUAGUUUGAAUGAAAUGACCCGUACAGAUUCAUGUAUUUGCACACAUGGUCCCUAGUUAGUGGUGGUGUUUGGCAAGGAUAUGGAACCUUUCAGAGGUGAUACUUUCCUGGAAGAAGUACUUACCUGGUAGGGGAGGGGCACUUUGAUGUUUUUUAUCCUUGCCUUACUUACUGUUCUUUCUUUCUGCUUCCUAUAUGGGAAUGGAAUGUGAUCAGUUUGCAUCCUGCUCCUGACACCAUAUCAUCCCUGCCUGUUGCCACGCCUUCCCUGCCUUGAUGAACUCCAUCCCUCUAGAAGUGAAAUGAAACCCACAAAGUGCAAAGAAUACAGUCAUCCACAGCCAAAAUUUAUUCAGUCCGUCAUAUACUUCUGGUUCCUGUGUGUGAACACACAGCACUCACUACGUUUUUUAGGUAAUUGAAAUAAUAUGAUGCUGAUGUGUGGCAUGUUCCUCAGAAUUGCAACAUGCUCUCCAGGCUGAAACAUUUGCUGCAGGAAGGAGUGGGAAGGCUCAAGAGCCUCAGGUGAUAAACAGGAGGCAAACAAAAGGUCACAUAUCCGGGAAGAACAGCAGCUUGGAAGUUCUUGAAGGCCCCUGUCUACAAUGGAAACUGAAGUAAACAGUUUCUAGGCGUGGAGACAAUGACCAGACAACUGGAAGAAAAUGUCCGGGCUGUGGAGCUGCCUGCAAAUUACUGUAUAAAGAGCCACAGAGUUGCUAUUUUGGGGAGUCCUCACCCAUGUUGGGGUGGGCUUUCUGGUGGUGCAGCUGCCUUUGAGUUAUCCCUGCUUCUUGUAAGCAACCCCUCACCCAUACUCCUGCUACUAACCUCAAUAAAACAAUCCAUUGGU
Long non-coding RNA from Peromyscus maniculatus bairdii (prairie deer mouse), 4164 nucleotides. RefSeq lists it as uncharacterized. The record is from RefSeq and is a predicted model, not a curated record. Lineage: Eukaryota; Metazoa; Chordata; Mammalia; Rodentia; Cricetidae.